GAGGGUGCGAGCGUUGUCCGGAAUCACUGGGCGUAAAGGGCGCGUAGGCGGCGGGGGAAGUCCAUGGUGAAAGCUCGCGGCUCAACUGCGAGUCGGCCACGGAUACUCUUUCGCUCGAGCACUGUAGAGGCAGAUGGAAUUCCGGGUGUAGCGGUGGAAUGCGUAGAGAUCCGGAAGAACACCGGUGGCGAAGGCGGUCUGCUGGGCAGUAGCCGUAAGGCUUUAAAGCUGACGCUGAGGCGCGACAGCGUGGGGAGCAAACAGGAUUAGAUACCCUGGUAGUCCACGCCGUAAACGAUGGGCACUAGGUGCUUGGGGGAGCGACCCUCUGAGUGCCGGCGCUAACGCAUUAAGUGCCCCGCCUGGGGAGUACGGCCGCAAGGCUG
Molecule: ribosomal RNA, 386 nt
Filed under: uncultured organism
Description: bacterial SSU rRNA
Rfam family: Bacterial small subunit ribosomal RNA
Source: RNAcentral